This 468-nucleotide ribosomal RNA is filed under the name uncultured bacterium. Its description in RNAcentral is "partial 16S ribosomal RNA". It matches the Rfam family "Bacterial small subunit ribosomal RNA", at positions 28 to 507 of the family's 1533-position model. The record is from RNAcentral.
GACGAACGCUGGCGGCGUGCUUAACACAUGCAAGUCGAACGGAAAGGCCCUGCUUUUGUGGGGUGCUCGAGUGGCGAACGGGUGAGUAACACGUGAGUAACCUGCCCUUGACUUUGGGAUAACUUCAGGAAACUGGGGCUAAUACCGGAUAGGAGCUCCUGCUGCACGGUGGGGGAUGGAAAGUUUCGGCGGUGGUGGAUGGACUCGCGGCUUAUCAGCUUGUUUGGGGGGUAGUGGCUUACCAAGGCUUAGACGGGUAGCCGGCCUGGGAGGGUGACCGGCCACAUUGGGACUGAGAUACGGCGCAGACUCCUACGGGAGGCAGCAGUGGGGAGUAUUGCACAAUGGGCGGGAGCCUGAGGCAGCAACGCCGCGUGCGGGAUAACGGCCUUCGGGUUGUAAACCGCUUUCGCCUGUGACGAAGCGUGAGUGACGGUAAUGGGUAAAGAAGCACCGGCUAACUACGUG